UAGUUUAAGUCGAAAACUUUAAAAACAUCUGCAGUUUGGCUUGAAUUAAAAGUUGGAUCUGGAAUACCAAACUCUAAAUCUCAUUUCCCUGACCGGGAAUUGAACCCGGGCCGCAGCGGUGAGAGCGCCGAAUCCUAGCCACUAGACCAUCAGGGACACAAUUAUGCAAAUGAAGUCAUAGUUUACGUCGAAUACUUUAAAAACAUCUGCAGUUUGGCUUGAAUUAAAAGUUGGAUCUGGAAUUCCAAACUCUAAAUCUCAUUUCCCUGACCGGGAAUUGAACCCGGGCCGCGGCGGUGAAAGC
This is a long non-coding RNA of Gasterosteus aculeatus aculeatus (three-spined stickleback), 304 nucleotides long. The record is from Ensembl. NCBI's taxonomy places the organism in Eukaryota, Metazoa, Chordata, Actinopteri, Perciformes, Gasterosteidae.